This 497-nucleotide ribosomal RNA is filed under the name uncultured bacterium. Its description in RNAcentral is "partial 16S ribosomal RNA". It matches the Rfam family "Bacterial small subunit ribosomal RNA", at positions 28 to 507 of the family's 1533-position model. The record is from RNAcentral.
GAUGAACGCUGGCGGCGUGCCUAAUACAUGCAAGUCGAGCGAACAGAUAAGGAGCUUGCUCCUUUGACGUUAGCGGCGGACGGGUGAGUAACACGUGGGUAACCUACCUAUAAGACUGGAAUAACUCCGGGAAACCGGGGCUAAUGCCGGAUAACAUUUAGAACCGCAUGGUUCUAAAGUGAAAGAUGGUUUUGCUAUCACUUAUAGAUGGACCCGCGCCGUAUUAGCUAGUUGGUAAGGUAACGGCUUACCAAGGCAACGAUACGUAGCCGACCUGAGAGGGUGAUCGGCCACACUGGAACUGAGACACGGUCCAGACUCCUACGGAAGGCAGCAGUAGGGAAUCUUCCGCAAUGGGCGAAAGCCUGACGGAGCAACGCCGCGUGAGUGAUGAAGGUCUUCGGAUCGUAAAACUCUGUUAUUAGGGAAGAACAAAUGUGUAAGUAACUGUGCACGUCUUGACGGUACCUAAUCAGAAAGCCACGGCUAACUACGUG